This 253-nucleotide ribosomal RNA is filed under the name uncultured bacterium. RNAcentral describes it as "partial 16S ribosomal RNA". It matches the Rfam family "Bacterial small subunit ribosomal RNA", at positions 524 to 776 of the family's 1533-position model. The record is from RNAcentral.
CACGUAGGGUGCGAGCGUUGUCCGGAAUUAUUGGGCGUAAAGAGCUUGUAGGCGGUUUGUCGCGUCUGCUGUGAAAUUUCGGGGCUCAACCCCGAACUUGCAGUGGGUACGGGCAGACUAGAGUGUGGUAGGGGAGACUGGAAUUCCUGGUGUAGCGGUGAAAUGCGCAGAUAUCAGGAGGAACACCGAUGGCGAAGGCAGGUCUCUGGGCCGAUACUGACGCUGAGGAGCGAAAGCGUGGGGAGCGAACAGG